AAGCAAAAUCUGAUUGGUUUCACGUCACCAGUAAUAGCUUAUCAGCCCUGAAAGGAGCUGCUCCGGUGAGCAAACCCAGGUGUAUGUCGUGCGGCAUACAACAGAUAUGGCCAAAGUUUCCCAGAAAUACCACUGAAAAUGCCCAAAGUCAUUGCCUAUGGGAUCCCCCUCAAUGGAUGUUCUUUUGAAAAAAAAUCCAGGUGAUUGUCAAAGAAGAUUUUGAGCCCAAAUGAAGUCCCAAUAUUUUGGGCAGCCCUAGUGUUCGGUACAUGUUUGCAUGUUCCCUUGAUUUUUGAGGUACCUCCCCUUCUCCCAACCUUGGAGUCAGCCUUGCGGAUAGUUUGAACUGAAUAAAAAAAAUAUUUCCAGAUCCUAAAAGAGAAAACUCUUGAGAUGCAUUGCAUUGGGAAGUUUUUCAACGACUUUCACAUCCUUGUCACACUAAAACUAAAGGAUUCCAGUCUGUAGGAUUAGAGGCUGCGACUCCAAUUAUGAUAAACAGAAGAUCUAUUACAGGAGCUGCCAAACAGUCUGGAUUACUAAUGAGUUGAAGGAUACAGAGGUCCGUUAGCAGACACACAAGUAUUGACACAGGUCAUCUGAGAACUGGAUACAAAGCAUAAAUCAGAACCUGCUUCACGGAAUGUUCUCAGCGGCAGGAAGGUGGAAGGGUGUUAAGGACCGAGGAGGAGGGGCUGUCUAUCUGCCCAGAAUGGGGAAACAGGAGACGGCUGCAGAUUAAACAGGACAGAUCUGAGUGCUGAGUUGUUGGCGGAGCAGGACCGUUAUUGGCAGGACUGUUUGCAGCUGUGUAGAUUUAUGUAUUUUUGUGUGUGUGUGUG
Acanthopagrus latus (yellowfin seabream) is the source of this 842-nucleotide long non-coding RNA. RefSeq lists it as uncharacterized. The record is from RefSeq and is a predicted model, not a curated record. NCBI's taxonomy places the organism in Eukaryota, Metazoa, Chordata, Actinopteri, Spariformes, Sparidae. The transcript is spliced from 3 exons.